This 760-nucleotide ribosomal RNA is filed under the name Microbacterium testaceum. Its description in RNAcentral is "bacterial SSU rRNA". It matches the Rfam family "Bacterial small subunit ribosomal RNA", at positions 82 to 854 of the family's 1533-position model. Lineage: Bacteria; Bacillati; Actinomycetota; Actinomycetes; Micrococcales; Microbacteriaceae. The record is from RNAcentral.
GCUCUGUGGAUCAGUGGCGAACGGGUGAGUAACACGUGAGCAAUCUGCCCCUGACUCUGGGAUAAGCGCUGGAAACGGCGUCUAAUACCGGAUACGAGCUGCGACCGCAUGGUCAGUAGCUGGAAAGAAUUUCGGUCAGGGAUGAGCUCGCGGCCUAUCAGCUUGUUGGUGAGGUAAUGGCUCACCAAGGCGUCGACGGGUAGCCGGCCUGAGAGGGUGACCGGCCACACUGGGACUGAGACACGGCCCAGACUCCUACGGGAGGCAGCAGUGGGGAAUAUUGCACAAUGGGCGAAAGCCUGAUGCAGCAACGCCGCGUGAGGGAUGACGGCCUUCGGGUUGUAAACCUCUUUUAGCAGGGAAGAAGCGAAAGUGACGGUACCUGCAGAAAAAGCGCCGGCUAACUACGUGCCAGCAGCCGCGGUAAUACGUAGGGCGCAAGCGUUAUCCGGAAUUAUUGGGCGUAAAGAGCUCGUAGGCGGUCUGUCGCGUCUGCUGUGAAAACCCGAGGCUCAACCUCGGGCCUGCAGUGGGUACGGGCAGACUAGAGUGCGGUAGGGGAGAUUGGAAUUCCUGGUGUAGCGGUGGAAUGCGCAGAUAUCAGGAGGAACACCGAUGGCGAAGGCAGAUCUCUGGGCCGUAACUGACGCUGAGGAGCGAAAGGGUGGGGAGCAAACAGGCUUAGAUACCCUGGUAGUCCACCCCGUAAACGUUGGGAACUAGUUGUGGGGUCCAUUCCACGGAUUCCGUGACGCAGCUA